This 253-nucleotide ribosomal RNA is filed under the name uncultured bacterium. RNAcentral describes it as "partial 16S ribosomal RNA". It matches the Rfam family "Bacterial small subunit ribosomal RNA", at positions 524 to 776 of the family's 1533-position model. The record is from RNAcentral.
UACGGAGGGGGCUAGCGUUGUUCGGAUUUACUGGGCGUAAAGCGCACGUAGGCGGCUUUGUAAGUUAGAGGUGAAAGCCUGGAGCUCAACUUCAGAAUUGCCAUUAAUACUGCAUCGCUUGAAUCCAGGAGAGGUGAGCGGAAUUCCGAGUGUAGAGGUGAAAUUCGUAGAUAUGCGGUAGAACACCAGUGGCGAAGGCGGCUCACUGGACUGGUAUUGACGCUGAGGUGCGAAAGCGUGGGGAGCAAACAGG